GACGAACGCUGGCGGCGUGCCUAAUACAUGCAAGUCGAACGCGGGGGCGGACGGGUGAGUAAUAUAUAGCUAAUCUGCCCCUUGCUGGAGGACAACAGUUAGAAAUGACUGCUAAUACUCCAUAGCAAGGGAUGAGACUAUAUCGUAUCAGCUAGUCGGUGGGGUAACGGCCUACCGAGGCUAUGACGCGUAACUGGUCUGAGAGAAUGAACAGUAACAUUGGAAGUGAGACAAGGCUCAAACUCCUUCGGGAGGAAGAAGUAGGGGAUAUUGCGCAAUGGGGGAAACGAUGAAGCAGCAACGCCGAGUGGAGGAUGACACUUUUCGGAAGGUAAACUACUUUUGUUAGGGAAGCGGUACCUAAUGAAUAAGCACAGGCAAACUCCGUGCCAGCAGCCGAGGUAAUAC
Molecule: ribosomal RNA, 408 nt
Filed under: uncultured bacterium
Lineage: Bacteria
Description: partial 16S ribosomal RNA
Rfam family: Bacterial small subunit ribosomal RNA
Source: RNAcentral